Long non-coding RNA from Oncorhynchus tshawytscha (Chinook salmon), 2463 nucleotides. NCBI's taxonomy places the organism in Eukaryota, Metazoa, Chordata, Actinopteri, Salmoniformes, Salmonidae. The record is from Ensembl.
CCUCUCUCUCUCCAAGCCUGUCUGUCCUGCCUCUCUCUCCACCCAGACAUGACUGGGGAUUGAUUUAGGUCAGCAAGUCUGGGGCUCUGCUGCACUCUGUCUCCACUCCCCAUUCAUUCGCUCAUCUGAAAAGGUCGACGAUGGUGAUCGUCGCAGGGACUUGCCAGAUGGGUGGUAGCAACAGUGCCGUGGUCUAGCCAGAGCCCAAAAUGAGAGGAUAGGAUGCCAGGACGCCGGGCCCGAGUUGAUUGGCACCUGAACGACGAAAGAGGAGGUGAGAUGAAGAGGAGGGGAAGAGUAGAGUUAUUUUGUCUACAAGCAGACAAGUGCCAUCCAGCCAGAGGGGUCGUCGUCAGUCAGUAGGACUGUGUGUUAUUGCUUUAAGGCACCAUGGAUUUGACAACCAUCUGUCCACCGUCAAAAAACUGUGUUUCAAAUGCCAUAUUCUCUCUCUUCCAACCCAGAACAUAGAUCCACAUUUAUUUGUGCUCUUCUCUCUCUCUCUUUCUCUCUCUGUUUCGAAUAUUCCUUCGUGCAGUAGCACCGGGUAUGUCCUCCCAGGAACACGAAGGGGAGACGACACAUCGGGUAUGUCCUCCCAGGAACACGAAGGGGAGACGACACAUCGGGUAUGUCCUCCCAGGAACAUGAAGGGAAGACGACACAUCAGGUAUGUCCUCCCAGGAACACGAAGGGGAGACGACACAUCGGGUAUGUCCUCCCAGGAACACGAAGGGAAGACGACACAUCAGAUAUGUCCUCCCAGGAACACGAAGGGGAGACGACACAUCGGGUAUGUCCUCCCAGGAACAUGAAGGGAAGACGACGAGUAAAAUAACAUUUUGGAUUUACGAGAGUCCGCAGAAAAGAAGUGGAGUCGGUUCACUUUGGCUUUUUCUCCCCCUUCUUCCUCUCUUCCUCCCAGCGUCUGUCUGGCUUGGUGCACUGCGACUGGGAAACUGUAGUUGGUAGCACACAGAGCUCUCUCCCUCUCUGCCAGUGGCAAACUGAGGAAGGCAGGCAGCGGCAGCUUCGUGACACAGCAAUCAGCUGACAUGGUGCUAUCCCUCAAUGUCCUGAGCAAGCUGGGGGGGGGGCUGGGGGCUGCUGGACGGAUGGACAGAAGCGGGUUGGGGGGGUGUUGGCUAAGACCCAGACUACACCUCCUAGACCAGAGCAGAUGAUCGACACACCGCAUUCAGACUGCCUCCCUCUGCCACCCUACUGACCAGACUAGACGCCACACACACACACACACCACCGCUGACCUGACCACACGGCUCCAGACAACAUCGACCACAGUAGAGACAGGAUGGAGGGAGGGAGAGGACUGCGCUCUGUCUGACUUGGUCCCUACCCUGCCUCUCUCUCUCUCUUUCUCUCCCUUGCUCUCUCUUUCUCAUCCCAAAUCCUCCUCCCUUUUCUCUUACACCCACACCAGUGUUCAUCUCACCACAGAGACAUGUCUCCUCCCUCCUUACUCCCUCACCACUGUUCAUCUCACCACAGAGACAUGUCUCCCCCCUCCUUACUCCCUCACCACCUGUGCAUCUCACCACAGAGACAUGUUUCCUAGAUCCUUACUCCCUCACCACUGUUCAUCUCACCACAGAGACAUGUCUCCUCCCUCCUUACUCCCUCAUCACUGUUCAUCUCAGCACAGAGACAUGUCUCCUCCCUCCUUACUCCCUCACCACUGUUCAUCUCACCACAGAGACAUGUCUCCUCCCUCCUUACUCCCUCACCACUGUUCAUCUCAGCACAGAGACAUGUCUCCUCCCUCCUUACUCCCUCACCACUGUUCAUCUCACCACAGAGACAUGUCUCCUCCCUCCUUACUCCCUCACCACUGUUCAUCUCACCACAGAGACAUGUCUCCUCCCUCCUUACUCCCUCACCACUGUUCAUCUCACCACAGAGACAUGUCUCCUCCCUCCUUACUCACUCCCCAGUGUUCAUCUCACCACAGAGACAUGUCUCCUCCCUCCUUACUCACUCCCCAGUGUUCAUCUCACCACAGAGACAUGACUCCUCCCUCCUUACUCCCUCACCACCUGUUCAUCUCACCACAGAGACAUGACUCCUUAUGCCGGUUAAUUUGGGACAACACCUGCAACCCGAUCUCAGGUGGCUCGUUGCAGCCCUAAAAAAAAAAGAACAACCUACAACCUUGAAAACGGGCAGAUGUUCAAACUAACUCAGCUCGACUUCAGGAAUCAGAGUUUGACACUAAACAAUGAUCUCUUGUCCGAAUGGGCUACAGGAUUAAAGUGUUGACGCCGGGGAAUCAUUAACGGAGCUACGCUGCCUGGCGGCUGCUACCUGGAUAAGAUAAGGCUCACCUGUUUAAACAUGCAUAUGAAUCAAUACAUUUCAUAUAUGACACGCUGAAUGGUGAGCGUAGGCUACCAUCUGUCCCUUUUGCAAUGAAUAACACAGAGUUUGUAAAUGAUUAAGAGUAAU